AUUGAACGCUGGCGGUAGGCCUAACACAUGCAAGUCGAACGGCAGCACAGUAAUAGCUUGCUCUUACGGGUGGCGAGUGGCGGACGGGUGAGGAAUACAUCGGAGUCUACUUUUUCGUGGGGGAUAACGUAGGGAAACUUACGCUAAUACCGCAUACGACCUACGGGUGAAGGCAUGGGAUCUUCGGACCUUGCGCGAUUGAAUGAGCCGAUGUCGGAUUAGCUAGUUGGCGGGGUAAAGGCCCACCAAGGCGACGAUCCGUAGCUGGUCUGAGAGGAUGAUCAGCCACACUGGAACUGAGACACGGUCCAGACUCCUACGGGAGGCAGCAGUGGGGAAUAUUGGACAAUGGGCGCAAGCCUGAUCCAGCCAUACCGCGUGGGUGAAGAAGGCCUUCGGGUUGUAAAGCCCUUUUGUUGGGAAAGAAAAGCAGCAGGUUAAUACCCCGCUGUUCUGACGGUACCCAAAGAAUAAGCACCGGCUAACUUCGUG
This 492-nucleotide ribosomal RNA is filed under the name uncultured bacterium. RNAcentral describes it as "partial 16S ribosomal RNA". It matches the Rfam family "Bacterial small subunit ribosomal RNA", at positions 30 to 507 of the family's 1533-position model. The record is from RNAcentral.